CACAGUGGUAAAGUAUCUCUGAAUUUAAUUCCCAGUAUUGCCAAACACACACACACACACACACACACACACACACACACACACACAAUGGAUACUGCUUUAUACCUUCAAGAAUAGCUAAAAUUAAGAGAAUGACAAUAUCAAAUUUUACGAGGAAUGUAGAAGGUUUGCAACUCUCAGACACUGCUAGUGGGAGUGUAAAGUGAGAUAACCACUUUGCAGAAACUUUAAAGAUGUCACUCUGCCCUUAUCUGAACGUUCAUGUCCUCCAAACUUAAUGUGUUGAAACCCUAACUCCCAAGGUAAUGGUAUCAGGAUAUGAGGCCAGUGGAGGUGAUCCCAUCCUAGGGCAGAGCCCCCAUAAAUAGGAUUACAGCCCUUAGAAAAGGAGCCUAAGACCCCUAGCCUUUCCCAGCCCUUACGCAUCCUGUGUCUACAGGUGUCUAGAUAUUGGACUGAGAAGGAACUGAGAAGUUUCCCAUUGUCUAUAAGCCACACACCUUAGAGCACUUUGUUAUAGUCCCUAGCCCCCCACCCAAGGAACCAAGACCACCUCCCUGUGGCUCAACAAUGCAGCCCUAGGAACUUACUCAGGAGUGAAAAUGGAAAUUAACAGAGGGUCAUUUGAAAAUGUCCAUAGCAAAGUUAUUCUAAUAGCCUCAAAACUGGGAACACCCCAAAUGUCAUCCAUGAGUACACAGAUUCGGAGUUGUCUUGUUAGUGUAGGACCACAAGGUAGUGCAGGCAUAGGCAGAGCUUAUGGUGGUGAGCCUCAGGACAGCAGUUGUCCCCAGUGGGGUGCUGACUGGAGCCUUGGGCCACUUGUUAGGGUUUAUGGCACCAUGGCACACGUUUGUCAGACUCAUAAAACCACAUACUGAAAGGUGGUUUUUGGUUUAUGCCAACAUUUUUUACAGAAUGACGUUAGAUGAAGCCUUACCAUUUGGUACUAUGCCCUUUUGUGUUCUGUUGUGGUACUAGGGCUCCAUCCCAGGGGUGCUCCACCACUGAGCUACACCUCCAGCCUUACUCUUUGGACACAACCUUGCUGAGCUGCUGAAGGGGCUGUAGCUGGAGAUCUCCCAGUUUCAGCCUGGGCGUGGCUAGGACCACAGGUGUGCAUCGACAUGCCCACUCUAACACCCUCUUUGUUUUCCCGUGGUAUAAAGUGGCCAGCUUUCCAAGAAAACCUCCUAGUGCCGGCAGCAGCAGGACAGCUCUCAGCCAGCACUGGCUUAGGGCGUGUGCUGCGUGGCUGGGCAGUGGUGCUGGGGGUAGGUGUGUUGAGUGCAUUUCCAACUUACCUUCAACUUACAGUAGUUCAUCGGGUAGCAGGUAACCCCACCCUAAGUUAGGGAGCAUGGUACCGUAAGCGUGGCUGUCCCCAACAUUUACCAUUCAGCCUUUGUGACAGCACCAGGCCUGGCCAACCAGGCCUGGCCGGAUCACCUGCUUUCUGGGUGAAUUUAGGUGACAAACGAUUCCUGUGGUGAAGCAGGAAUGAGUACCUGUCUUGGAAGUGAGGCAGCGUGUGCCAUGCCCUGGCCACAGAGCCUCUGUCCUGGGAAGCUAUCACUGCUGGAGCCCGGCUGCCAGCUUGUAUCUACACAAAGGCCUCUCAGUGGGGCAGAUGUCUCCCAGUCACCGAGGGUUCCUGGAGUGCGAGAGAACCAUGGAGAGAAUAAGCCACGGUGAAGAGAUGUCCUCUACAAGGAGCGGUGCCCAGCUCCUGGGCUGCUCCAUGCAACAGGAGAGCCAGGGUCUUGUGCUCACGCUUCACAACAGCUGUGCCUGAGAGCCGACAGUGGUCCUCCUCCCCAGAGCUGUGAAGCCUCCCUCAUCAGUUUUCUUACACUUGACCUGCCAUCGGCAAGACCAGUGUCUCAUUUCAGUCACUUGAGUUUGGGGUUUCUGACUGUACUGUCAUGAUGGGGUCCUGAUGGCACUGUCUUCUCACUCCCACCCAGUGCCACCUACGUGCAGUUAACAGAACGAGUCAGACGGUGGAGGUCGGGAUCCCUGGGUAAGCAGCUCUGCUGCUGGCCUCCAUCUACCAUGAGGCAGAAGUGAGAGGAUUUGUCCACCAGGUGGCGCUGGAUUCCUACGGCUGAGCAGAUGAAGCCUGGAAGAAUGGCAGCCUUGGAGGAGCGAUUUGAGCAUUUUUUGCAUUAGCUGGAUUUCUUACAUCUUGUGGUAAGACUGGCAGGCACACAGAGCCAAGGAAAUGACACACUGAAGCAGGGCCCAAAAUGCUAAGGUGGGUCCUGCAGGCGCUAGAGCACCUGUCCCACACAUGGAGGCCAAAGGAAGCGCUAUGCGGGUUGGAUGAAGAAUGAUUCAGAAAAACAACAGCUCUUUUCCUGAUUUUGGCAUGAACCCCCUUAUUCGAAAUGGAGACAGCAUCUCAAACAGCUCAGAGGAAGAGGCGUCAGGAGCUCCCUGCGCUGACUGGGGAAGGCAGCGGUGAAGUCCUGCCCAUGCUGCGCUGUCCUGCUGAUGUGUUACUGCUGUCACAACAGGAGCCAGAAGACCCCCACAUGGCAGAAGACCCCAGAAAGGAGACUGUCCUAGCCUUCGCAUCAGCACAGCCCGACUAUCACAGGAGGAGUUGAAGAAGUUGGCUGAUAGCAAAUGAUGCCUGAGAGAAUUCUCUGCACCUGCCCCUGUGACAACUCCCGAAGAUGGAGUGCAGAAGGAAUUUGAAUUUUGGAAAAGCCAACAUUCUACUGGAAAAGGCACCAAACUAGGACUCUGCCCUAGCAGCUGCCCCAUAUCAUCUCAUGUAGCGGCCAUGUGUGCGUGCCUAGAAAGUCUGCCAGCCUCUCGCUCAGGAAAACCUCGGGCAUAGUCAGUCAGCCUGAAAGGUGGUGGGCCUGGAUACCACCUUGGCCACACGGUGCCGGAGGUCCAGCUGCAGCUGCUGGUUCUGCUGAAGCAGGGUCUUCAUGUUGCUCUUCAGUUCCGACACUUUGGCUUGAAGCAUAAAUUUAUCCUUCUGGGUCAUGGACAGGUCUUCCUGCACCGUCUCCAACUCAGACUUGAUAUUCUAGAAAAGUAGAUUUGGAUUCAGAAAAGGGAAUGAUUAAACACUGCUAAGAUCUGUUUCUAUUGA
Ictidomys tridecemlineatus (thirteen-lined ground squirrel) is the source of this 3112-nucleotide non-coding RNA. The record is from RefSeq and is a predicted model, not a curated record. Lineage: Eukaryota; Metazoa; Chordata; Mammalia; Rodentia; Sciuridae.